UACAGAGGGGGCCAGCGUUAUUCGGAAUUAUUGGGCGUACAGGGCGCGUAGGCGGCUUGGCAAGUGGAAGGUGAAAUCCCUCGGCUUAACCGAGGAACUGCCCUCCAAACUGCUUCGCUUGAGACCGGGAGAGGUGAGUGGAAUUCCGAGUGUAGAGGUGAAAUUCGUAGAUAUUCGGAGGAACACCAGUGGCGAAGGCGGCUCACUGGUCCAUUACUGACGCUGAGGUGCGAAAGCGUGGGGAGCAAACAGG
This 253-nucleotide ribosomal RNA is filed under the name uncultured bacterium. RNAcentral describes it as "partial 16S ribosomal RNA". It matches the Rfam family "Bacterial small subunit ribosomal RNA", at positions 524 to 776 of the family's 1533-position model. The record is from RNAcentral.